Molecule: transfer RNA, 76 nt
Filed under: Erythrobacter mangrovi
Lineage: Bacteria; Pseudomonadati; Pseudomonadota; Alphaproteobacteria; Sphingomonadales; Erythrobacteraceae
Description: Erythrobacter sp. EB310 tRNA-Met
Rfam family: tRNA
About the family: Transfer RNA (tRNA) molecules are approximately 80 nucleotides in length. Their secondary structure includes four short double-helical elements and three loops (D, anti-codon, and T loops). Further hydrogen bonds mediate the characteristic L-shaped molecular structure. tRNAs have two regions of fundamental functional importance: the anti-codon, which is responsible for specific mRNA codon recognition, and the 3' end, to which the tRNAs corresponding amino acid is attached (by aminoacyl-tRNA synthetases). tRNAs cope with the degeneracy of the genetic code in two manners: having more than one tRNA (with a specific anti-codon) for a particular amino acid; and 'wobble' base-pairing, i.e. permitting non-standard base-pairing at the 3rd anti-codon position.
Source: RNAcentral
UGCAGCGUAGCUCAGUGGUAAGAGCACGGCUCUCAUAAAGCCGAGGUCGCCGGUUCAAGUCCGGCCGCUGCAACCA